This is a long non-coding RNA of Girardinichthys multiradiatus, 731 nucleotides long. RefSeq lists it as uncharacterized. The record is from RefSeq and is a predicted model, not a curated record. The transcript has 2 exons. Lineage: Eukaryota; Metazoa; Chordata; Actinopteri; Cyprinodontiformes; Goodeidae.
AUUAAAGUAGCGGGGAGACGCUGCUGCAGGCAACAAACCCCCUGUGGAUAUUUCUUUAUUAGCACAGGGUGACAAGGAGGCCAUGUCCACGUAUGCUUUGGACACAGAAAGGCCAGCUGAUAUCUCACAGACAUUCAGAACGGACUGUGGAAGCAAUUCUGGAUAAAUAGCUCCGGUAUAAGCAUACUGAAAAGCACUGCAGCAUGACCAGUGCUUUAUUGAAACCAUAGAAGAGACUAAACAAUCAAUAUUUGAUUAAAUAUUUUUUUCAGCUCUGGGGUAUAGCCUCAAGAUUUCUUUGAAUUAAUAAAUGUUGUGCAUAUCAUACAUAUAUAUGAAUGUGUAGGGAAAAAACGCAGGAAUGGCUUUCAUCAAAGUGCAUCCAUAACUGUAGCUCAAUAGAAAAAGACAUGCAGAGGAAAGAGUUAUUUUUCUCCAGCAUGGCACAGGGCAUUCAUACAGCAGAUCCAUUAACAUACAGGAGAGGGAAUUCACACUCCAGCUGGAGUGGGCAGUGGGCUCAAGCCCCUGUCUGCUAUCAAUUAACAAGCACACUUAGUAUGUCUCUGAGUCAUGAUCAUCAGGGGGCUCAGAAAACACUGCGCAUUUCUGCAAUUUAGCUCGUGUGUUUGUUCGACAUGUUUGUUCAUAAGACUGUUUCAGGUAAAAAUUGUUAAAAUUGUGUGCAUGGCUACAAAUAGUUAAGCACAAAUAAACACGAUUAGGAAUUU